GAUGAUGAACGCAGCGAAAUGCGAUAAGUAAUGUGAAUUGCAGAAUUCAGUGAAUCAUCGAAUCUUUGAACGCACCUUGCACCCUUUGGCAUUCCGAAGGGUAUGCUCGUUUGAGUGUCAUUGUACUCUCACUCUCCCGAUGCUUUUGGAUCGGGAGUGGUGGACUUGGGUGUUGCUGCUUUGCUGUGGCUCGCCUCAAAUGGAGUAGUGCAACUCUUGGUUGGACAUAGUACGGCGUGAUAAGUGUCUUCGCCGGCGCCUCAUUAUAGAGGGUGGCCGAUCGGGAGCUCUGUGCUUCAAACCGUCUUCGGACAACAUCUGACAACUUGACCUCAAAUCGAGUAGGACUACCCGCUGAACUUAAGCAUAUCAAUAAGCGGAGGA
This 384-nucleotide unclassified non-coding RNA is filed under the name soil metagenome. RNAcentral describes it as "partial contains 5.8S ribosomal RNA, internal transcribed spacer 2, and large subunit ribosomal RNA". The stretch from base 1 to 120 matches the Rfam family "5.8S ribosomal RNA", at positions 35 to 154 of the family's 154-position model. The record is from RNAcentral.